AUUGAACGCUGGCGGUAUGCUUAACACAUGCAAGUCGAACGGUAACAGGCCUUCGGGCGCUGACGAGUGGCGGACGGGUGAGUAACGCGUAGGAAUCUGCCUCAUAGUGGGGGACAACGUGGGGAAACUCACGCUAAUACCGCAUACGCCCUACGGGGGAAAGCGGGGGAUCUUCGGACCUCGCGCUAUGAGAUGAGCCUGCGUUAGAUUAGCUAGUUGGUAGGGUAAAGGCCUACCAAGGCGACGAUCUAUAGCUGGUCUGAGAGGACGAUCAGCCACACUGGGACUGGGACACGGCCCAGACUCCUACGGGAGGCAGCAGUGGGGAAUAUUGGACAAUGGGCGCAAGCCUGAUCCAGCAAUACCGCGUGUGUGAAGAAGGCCCUAGGGUUGUAAAGCACUUUCAAUUGGGAGGAAAACCUGCCGGUCAAUACCCGGCAGCUUGACAUUACCUUUAGAAGAAGCACCGGCUAACUCCGUGCCAGCAGCCGCAGUAA
Molecule: ribosomal RNA, 497 nt
Filed under: uncultured bacterium
Lineage: Bacteria
Description: partial 16S ribosomal RNA
Rfam family: Bacterial small subunit ribosomal RNA
Source: RNAcentral